UCGAGCGGAUGACGGGAGCUUGCUCCUUGAUUCAGCGGCGGACGGGUGAGUAAUGCCUAGGAAUCUGCCUGGUAGUGGGGGACAACGUUUCGAAAGGAACGCUAAUACCGCAUACGUCCUACGGGAGAAAGCAGGGGACCUUCGGGCCUUGCGCUAUCAGAUGAGCCUAGGUCGGAUUAGCUAGUUGGUGGGGUAAUGGCUCACCAAGGCGACGAUCCGUAACUGGUCUGAGAGGAUGAUCAGUCACACUGGAACUGAGACACGGUCCAGACUCCUACGGGAGGCAGCAGUGGGGAAUAUUGGACAAUGGGCGAAAGCCUGAUCCAGCCAUGACGCGUGUGUGAAGAAGGUCUUCGGAUUGUAAAGCACUUUAAGUUGGGAGGAAGGGCAGUAAGUUAAUACCUUGCUGUUUUGACGUUACCGACAGAAUAAGCACCGGCUAACUCUGUG
This 450-nucleotide ribosomal RNA is filed under the name uncultured bacterium. RNAcentral's name for it is "bacterial SSU rRNA". It matches the Rfam family "Bacterial small subunit ribosomal RNA", at positions 62 to 507 of the family's 1533-position model. The record is from RNAcentral.